Molecule: long non-coding RNA, 8516 nt
Filed under: Salmo salar (Atlantic salmon)
Lineage: Eukaryota; Metazoa; Chordata; Actinopteri; Salmoniformes; Salmonidae
Description: lncRNA (ENSSSAG00000109941.1)
Rfam family: mir-133 microRNA precursor family (bases 1307-1378)
Source: RNAcentral
CCAGAGAUAUAGAGAGACAGAGAGAGGAUGCAUCCACAGGUCCAGAGAUAUAGAGAGACAGAGAGAGGACGCAUCCACAGGUCCAGAGAUAUAGAGACAGAGGAGAGAACACAUCCACAGGUCCAGAGAUAUAGAGAGACAGAGAGAGGACGCAUCCACAGGUCCAGAGAUAUAGAGACACAGAGGAGAGGACACAUCCACAGGUCCAGAGAAAUAUAGAGACACAGAGGAGAGGACAGCUCCACAUGCCCAGAGAUAUAGAGACCCGGAGAGAGGAUAUCUCCACAGGCCCAGAGAUAUGGAGACACAGAGGACACCUCCAGGCCCAGAGAUAUAGAGGAGAGGAGCGGGGAGAAGAGGAGAUGAAGUGGGUGGGUGGGUGUGGUUUUAACCAGGGGCAACAGGUUAACAUACCACGGUAACAGACAGCGACACAGAGAGACAUACUGAUGGACUCUAUGGAGGCAGAUUAUGUGAAUAAUUAUAGAGGAAUGUUUGUAGCGAGUCUGAUAGGUACUGUAGAUGUGGACAUGUGGUAACCACGUUCCUUUCCCUUUCCAAGGUCAAGUCUUGUGGUCGUGCUCCUGUGUUUAAUUGGGGAAGCAACAUUUAACCUCUCAGCAUGUUUCUAUGGUGUGUUUGACUCCUAUUUCUAUUAGUGUAAUCAACCAUCUAGUUCAUUCUUCUAAUCCUCUCCCCUCUUUUCUUUCAUACCCAUCCUUCCCCACCACCAGUGUAUCCUUUCCCCCACUAUCUCCCUCCUCUUUCUCCUCCCCCCACACUCCUCAGUAAGAUCACACUUAAAAGUAAAGACCACUUCAGCAGUUUAUGGACUUCAGGAUGGGUUUUUAUUGAUCAGACGUCUGCAUUAAGAGUCAAAGAGAGAGAGACAACCGUUUGCUUCACUUAUUUACCAACCCCACAUCCCCCUUCUCCUUUCCCUUCCAGUACAGUCAGUUACAAAGGAUAGCAACAAUAUCGACUGUAAAACAUUACAAUACAUAGUUAUGGCAAAAACGCUGACUCACUAAAUAAGUAAUUACCUGGACUAUUUUUUAUUGCAAAAAAAUCUAUAUCCCUUCUGGUGUACAAAAUAUUCAUUCCUACUUGCAGCCUACCCAGUUGUGGUCUGAAGGUUCAGUUGGGCUUUUCUGCUCCUGGAUCAGUGUGUCCAUUCCUGACACAGUGUCUCUGCCAGAUUCCCUCUGGUGAGCCCUGUUCUCAGGUCAGUGAGUCAGAUGGAGUCUUGGUGUGUCUGUCAACCAUUCUUGGUCCCACUCUUCAGUGAUCCGGAGUGAUCAAUGCACAGCUACAGCUGGUUGAAGGGGACCAAAUCCAUUGAACAGUUGAUUUGGUUCCAUUUUACCAGCUUUAGCAAAGCAUUUUUGGUGUGAAGUCCUACAGUAUGGUCUGAGGAGGUGGGACAGCUUCAGAGUCCUGGAUGAGAGGUAACAGAAAGGAGGAAAGGAUGAGCUCAUUGACAGACACAUGUUGUUGUGGAAUUGUUACGAUCAAAUGCACAUCCACAUAGAAAGCACUCAGACAAAGAACUGAUAUUGGAGAAAACGAUGCCAUUGUAUGAAUUCCUAGGCCUGCAUGGAGUAACAAGAGGGUAGGAGGGAACAGAGAAAAUAAUUAUGGCAGUUACAGAGCAGAGAAAAGGAGAGGAGGAGGAGGUGAAGAGGAGAAAGAGAACAAAGGAGAUUGGAGUGGGGCCCUACACACAAAAAACAAAUGGUACUAUAAAGUGCCAAAUAAGGGUUGUGUGGCUUGUAAUCAUAGCAGAACCCUUUUCGGUGCUAUAUGGAAACUUUUUUUGAAGGUUCUAUAAGAACCAUGCUAAUAAGGUUCUAAAUGGAACCUCUAUGGUGCUAUAAAGAUCCCCUUCCAAAGGAUCUAUAAAGAACCAUUAAAAAAGUUGGUCCUGGGGCCCCCCUUGGUGCACAUUUUGGUUUUUGCUCUAGCACUACUCAGCUGAUGAAAAUAAUCAAAGCUUGAUGAUGAGUUGGUUAUUUGAAUCAGCUGUGUAGUGCUAGGGCAAAAACCAAAACAUGUGCCCAGGGGUAUAGCAUCAAAAAGGGUUGCGCUACGGUUAAAUCCCAUUUUUAAUGUUUUUUAUGAUUUUUUAAAUCCCAUUUUUUUAUUUCUAGAACCUUUAUGGAGAAUGGUUCCAUAAAGAACCUUUCUCAAUCUCAAAGGUUCUUUGUAGAACCAUACUGUUUUUUUCUGGUUUAAUAGCUAUAUUAUAUUGUUACAAUUCUAUAGGUUUUAUUAUAGUUGAAUCAGGUGUGCUAGCUCUGGAACAGCUUGGGGACCCUGAGGAGAGAAUUGAAAACUACUGACUUAGUCAACCUUUCUCAAUUGACACAAGACCAUACGUGAGUCUUCACAAGACAACGUCACCGGCCAUGGUCAUUUGUACUAUUAUAACAUUACAGAUUAGAUCAACUGGAAUGACACACUCACGGUUGCACAAAAAGAGCUGUGCGCAAACCACGCACCAAAAUAUUCUAAUAAUUAUCACCAAAAGAGGAAAGAACCCUUUUUUAAACUGCAAAGAACAAUUGAAGGGCUCAAAUAGUUAUUUUGGUCAGUAUGGUUCCACAUAGAACCUUUGAGGAACCCUCACUUUUUUUGCAUGUAAGAGAAAACAGGAGGUGAGUGCAUAUAAACUGCAGACAAACUUGAGAGAACAAUUAAUUUAUCACAGGCUUGUCAAUACUGCUAAUGAACCUCCAGGAUUCGACACCUCAGGAAUUAACUCCCAUUGACCUCUACAGAGCAUCUCUCUCAAUCCCCCUCCCUCUUUCUUUCUCUCUGUUUCCCUCUCCCCUCUUUCUCUCCACAACUUUCUCCCCUUCUCUUCCUCACUCUCUCCUCCCUCUCUCUCCCCAUAUCCCCGCUCUCUCUCUCUCCCUCUUCUAUCUCUCUCUUGCUCUCUCACAUUUACUCCUUCUCCCUCCAUCUCCAUCCUUUCUUGUGUCUACUUUCUUGAUCUCUAUGUCUACCUCUCCCUCCCUAACUACCACAUCUUUUGUACCUUCAUUUCUUUAUUGUGUCUAUCAUUUCUCUAUCAUUUCUCCUUCAGGGCGAUGUUGUCCCUCAGUGUAUAACCUGCCCCAGUGUACUCAGCCACCCGCUAACUGUGUGCUGCUUGCCUUUGGUGCAACUCACUCAUAUUCUUGUUCAAUUAGCUUUAGCUGAUCAUUUAGCUAUUAGGAAGUAAACCACUUCACACCCGCAACAGACUCCUGCCUCCACAAAAUGAGCCAUUGAUAGUAAAAGUGUUUUUAAUGCCAAGUUUCGGAGGAUAACAUUAUCAUGAUAUUUAGUCCCGUACUAUCAUUCCUCUUGACAUCUUUCCUCCUUAUACCUUGACAACUUCACCAAUCCCUAGUCUAUCUCUCAUCCCAUCAGAAAGCCAAUGUAGCUACAAAUGCAGCAUACUGCUCAGCAUACUGCUCAGUCUCUCCAAUGUGUGUUUCUAAGGCUACAUCUAGACAGGCAGCCCAGUUCUGAUCUUGUUUUCACUAAUUGGUCUUUUGACCAAUCAGAUCAGCUCUGAAAAAGAUCUGCUGUGAAAAGAUCUGAUGUGAUUGGUCAAAAGACCAAGUAGUGGAACAAAUAUCAGAACUGGGCUCCCUGUCUAAAUGCAGCCUUUAUAUCUUCCCACUCCUUCUCUUCUCUUUCUCUCGGAUGCUUGUCCACAGGGAGAUAUGUAGGUACAGUAUCUUGCGGACAUAGUAUGGGAUGCACACUCAUAUCUAAGUAUUAACAUACAUGCAUGCAUGAAUACACAAAGUCACACUCAGACUCACACAUACACACAGCUGGGUUCCUAUCCCAGUAUCACCAACAUCAGUAGUUACUCUACAUUCUCAGAUAUGACCUCUAACAUUCAAAACCAGGUCACGUUCAAAACCAGGUCACGUUCAAAACCAGAAAGUAACAUCUAAAUCAUUUCAGGAUAAACGCUGAACAAAGUGGUACACCUUGUCGCACUGUAACUCACUGACACCUCAAAGUGCUAACCUGAAUGUGAAUGUGACUACAACGUGUACUGCACCUAUUGCUACCAGGGCUUGGUUAGGCUUCUACAGAACAGGACUUUAACAGGUCGAUUAAGAUGUCAACGCUGUUCCCCAGCUGUCCCCACGUGAAGAUAACAACAGCGACACGAACUGCAACACAAAUCAAAUGUAAAAAAAAUGAAUGAUUAAAGAACAGGCGGACGAGCUAAAGAGCAACACAAACUUGUCACCUGAGAGCCCGGUGAAUUGAUGAGGGAGACACUUCCUUGGCUGGGAGAGGAGAUGAGAAGAGAGGAGGAGAGAGGAUAAGAGGAGAGGAGCAGAAGUUCCCACUACAUAGCACAAACACAAAGUCAAAAGUGUCUAUAUGGUAAAAAUGAAUUAAAACAAAAAUGUGAUUUUUGGUCUGAAUUUAAGGUUAGGGUUAGACAUAAGGUUUGCAGUGUGGUUAAGGUUAGGGUUAGGGUUCGGUUUAAAAUCACAUUUUAAGAAGAUAAAUUGUUUAAAUAGGCAUGUUUAUGACUUUGUGGCUGUAGUAACUAGUGACAACCGAGGAGAGGAGAGUAGCACACUUAGAAGGACACUGAGGUAUGGCCUGAAUUCUACCUGUCCCCGAGCUGCUUUUGUUAUAUCUCUACUGCACCGUACAGCACUGCAGAAUGUGGCCACAUAAAAAAAAUACUAUAGUAUACUAUGGUAUAAAUACUAUAGUAUUCACUGUACUGUUUUUGCUGACUUUACUAUAGUAUUCACUGUACUGUUUUUGCGGACCAAAUUAGUUUUUACUGUAGUAUAAUGUAGUUUACUGUUGUAUUUACAGUUCAAUACUGUAGUAAAAUAACUAUGGUUAAAUACUAUAGUAUUCACUGUAGUGGUUUUGCUGACUUUACUAUACUAAUUAACGUAGUGUUUUUAGGGGACUGUACUAUACUGUGGUAUUUACUGUAGUGUUUUUGAAGACAUUACUGUAAUAUUUACUAUAGUGUUUUUGUUUGAUUAUCUUUGACAUAGAAAUGGAGGCUUUCUCCUUCAGGAAACCUACUGGAGAAAUACUAAAAUAGCAUAUUUUCCAUAAUCUGUAGUUAGGUAGCACUUCUGCUCUUUAGGGAACACAAUAUGGUCUACACUUGGCAUGUAGAUUUGUCACUUAUGUGUGGCACAAAUUGAGAUAGGGGGUGGGGAAAUGUUAAAAAAAGUGUAAUAUUAUUGGCAACUGGAGUGUUUUUCCAGAUAUUACUGUAGUAUUUACUACAGUGUUUUUUUUCUUCAGGUAAUACUGUAGUAUUUACUGUAGUAUUCUACAGUAUUCAACAUUCUAUAGUAAGUACUAAACAUGAUCGAGGGAAACUAGCAGUGCUUAAUUUGAGCGGUAUCCCAGCAACUCUGUUUUGGAGUGCUUCUUUACGGAAUCCAUGUUCCAGGAUCCGGUACCUCUCGUGGCAUGAAAAAUAAUUGUCACUGUUUGUGAUGUAAAAAUUAUAAUAAAAGCAAUCAGAGUUAGGCUAAUUCAAGUUGACUCCUCUGUAAUUCUCCUGGCUGCCCUCUAAACAACGUAAAGUGGAAACGUGCCUGAUAAUUGACUGGUGUUGGGCAGGCCCGGGUUUAUGAUUUGCGCGACAUUGUAGCCUAUAUAGACUAAUGCGUGGCCAUUGCUGUGGUGAGAGGGAGAAGCGCGCCAGUAUAUCGCACAGAACUAGAAUGAGAUUCACUUUCUGUGAUAUCUCUCUCUCUCUCUACUCUGAUCGACAUGAGCUUGCAGCUCUCAACUCUCCAGCGUUGCACUUCAUCAUUUAUUUCCUUAUAGAAUCAUACCCGCGCGAAGGAGUCUGGAGGUGCCGCCCCAGCUAGCAAUGAGGAAUCGGCCCAGAAGCGGCCCUCUUCCGGGGGGCCGGAACUGAUUCAAUCGGAUCUGAAUCGGGUGUCGGACUCGGACCGGAAUCGAAAUGAAUGACUGCCCUGAAUCGCAGCACCCCUGAUAAAUUGAAAUACAUUUGCCAGAGUUAUAGAAUUACUGCUGUCUUUUUUGUUGUUGUUGAAAUAAAUGAAAUAAUUCCGAAUACUACACUAGGAGUAGGCCUAUAAUUUAGCCACAGAUGAUCAAUAUUAUUAUAUUAUUUAUUUUUUUGCUGUGUGUAGCCUAAUCACGAGGCAUGCCUAGGUGCGGAAAAUCUGUCAAUGAACAGCAAGCAGCCAAAACAGGCCUUUCGCAAUAUUUCAAAUACAAUCGCGGGAAAAAAAUACAGGUUGGCAAUCAAAUGGAUCCUGCUGAAAAUAGAAGACUAAUCUGUCUGUAGGCUAACAAGUUAUCAACUUCCAAAUAGGCCUAAUGAGCGAACAGUGUUGUUUUACCAAAUAAAACAAGAGAGAGAAAAGCUUCGCGGGUGAGUGAGCUGAGCAUCAUGGGGUGGUGAGUCAGUGAAACUGGAAUGCUUUUUAGGACUAUAUUUUCCGACUCAUAUUGUAUAAUUUGUGUCUCCACACACCUAGGUCUAGGCUAUUGAUGGACUGAAGACAAGGUCGUUUUUAUUGAUCUCAGAUACUCAGUUUGUCAGUGUCAAAGUAGCCUGUCAUUUGUGAGGUAUGUGGAGGUAUGUGUGUGUGUGUGUGUGUGUGUGUGUGUGUGUGUGUGUGUGUGUGUGUGUGUGUGUGUGUGUGUGUGUGCGUGCGUGCGUGCGUGCGUGCGUGCGUGCGUGCGUGCGUGCGUGUGAUUUAGACCAAGGGAGUGUAUUCUGGGUGUACUUGAGUUAAGAGGAGAAAAUUGCUUUGCAUGAAAUCCUUUUCACACAAGGGCUUUCUAUAGAUUAGAGACAGAAUCCCUCUGGUACACUUUCCUGCUUCUCAUUAAAAUCUUUCCCUCCAUAUGUUUUCCCCCUUAAAAACACACAUCCGUUUAGCUCAUAUAGACAGGUAUUUAUAAAGUCAUCUGUACUUCUCCAGGUAAAGGUGAUGAGAUUGAUUAAUUGUGUGGCAGCCGGGUGAUGUCCUUUGGCUGUUCCUUAGAAAGUACACAGUAAAGUGAUGAUAUUCGAGGUGUCAUAUUCUCCAGGCAUAAAUUGUAAUUAGUAGUCGAGCCAAAUGCUCACCUCUCAACACCUCCUCUACUCAAAUGCAAAUUGUAACACGCAAAUAGACAGGCUUAGAAGGCGCGCUUGUCUUGAGACGUAUGGGUGUGUGUGUAGGCAACUGUACUGUACGUGUGUGUAUGCAGCGCCUAUAUGCAUACUUUUGUGAGGAAUCAGGAGGAGAGUGUGUGUUUGUGUGUGUGUGUGUGUGUGUGUGUGUGUGUGUGUGUGUGUGUGUGUGUGUGUGUGUGUGUGUGUGUGUGUGUGCGCGCGCGUGUGUGCGGUGUGCCCUCUAUCAGUCUGGCUGCUUUUAGUCGGACUGGAUGCUUGUGUCUAUUCUGGGAACCUGCUCGGCCCUGCAUUCCUGCCCUUAUAUUGGAGAUGGGAAGGAGGGAUCAGGGUUUGGGACAGCUGGACCCUGGAGGGAGGGGUAGGGAGGGGUAGGGAGGGGUUGGAGGGAACUGUGUACAGGUGGUGUAAGGGGCAACUGCUGAUGAGACUAUGUAUAGCCCUAAAGAGGGUCUGACACUGAACCCUGUCCCACUGCACAGCCUGUCACUUUGCUUCAAUAUUAUCUUUAUUUUUAUUUUAGAUGCACAGAAUGGUCUGUCCGUCACUCUCUCUUGCUCUCUUGCUCUCUUGCUCUCUCUUUAUCACUCCCCUCUCUGUCACAAUUCUCUCUCUCUCUCUUGCUCUCUCUCUCGCUCUCUCUUGCUCUUUCUCUCUCUCUCUCUUGCUCCCUCUCUCUCUCUCUUGCUCUCUCUCUCUCUCUCUCUCUCUCUCUCUCUCUCUCUCUCUCUCUGCCCCUCUGUUCCUGUCAACCAUUUCACUCGGCUCUCUCUCUCUCUCCUUAUCUGGACAAGUGAGCUCUGAGUGGUUCUCAGGCAGCUGGCCUGUUGAAUGACACUACACCUCUCCCUUCCCUCCCCUCUGGUCUGGAGAGCUGGUGGGCCAAAGGGCUGGGGUCCAUCAAAAUGCAUCACUUCCUGUCACAUCCACAUUGUGCAAGGCCGCGUGCUGCUCUUACUCUCUGCCCUCUAGUGCCACCACAGAUUCAGUGACCAAUUGUCAUUUUUUGUAAACAUUUUUUUUUUUAAAUGUAUCCUUUAUUUAACUAGGCAAGUCAGUUAAGAACAAAUUCUUAUUUACAAUGACGGCUUACUUGAGUAAUAGAAAAUGAAGUGAAAGUCACCCAUUAAAAUAUUACUUGAGUAAAUGUCUAAAAGUAUUUGGUUUUAAAUAUACUUAAGUAUCAGAUCAGAGGAAGUAGGCAUGACCACGGAUGUUCUCUUGAUAAGUGUGUGAAUUGGACCAUUUUCCUGUCCUGCUAUGAGGUCAAACUGUAAUUAGUACUUUUGGGUGUCAGGGAAAAUAUAUUGUGGAAAAAGUACAUAUUUUCUUUAUGAAUGUAGUGGAAUAAAAG